AACGAACGCUGGCGGCAGGCUUAACACAUGCAAGUCGAACGCCCCGCAAGGGGAGUGGCAGACGGGUGAGUAACGCGUGGGAACAUACCCUUUUCUACGGAAUAGCUCUGGGAAACUGGAAUUAAUACCGUAUACGCCCUACGGGGGAAAGAUUUAUCGGGGAAGGAUUGGCCCGCGUUGGAUUAGCUAGUUGGUGGGGUAAAGGCCUACCAAGGCGACGAUCCAUAGCUGGUCUGAGAGGAUGAUCAGCCACAUUGGGGCUGAGACACGGCCCAAACUCCUACGGGAGGCAGCAGUGGGGAAUAUUGGACAAUGGGCGCAAGCCUGAUCCAGCCAUGCCGCGUGAGUGAUGAAGGCCUUAGGGUUGUAAAGCUCUUUCACCGAUGAAGAUAAUGACGGUAGUCGGAGAAGAAGCCCCGGCUAACUUCGUG
This 431-nucleotide ribosomal RNA is filed under the name uncultured bacterium. RNAcentral describes it as "partial 16S ribosomal RNA". It matches the Rfam family "Bacterial small subunit ribosomal RNA", at positions 29 to 507 of the family's 1533-position model. The record is from RNAcentral.